GCUAAACCCCUCGGCCAUCAGAAGUUAUCCAGUCUCUCUUUUCACGGUUUCUUCAGUCUCCAACCCUUCACGCCACGCUUAGUAUCCAAUUCCUGUAAGAUCCCCUAUAUCCUACUACUUGUUUUUCCCGUGACAGCAUUGAAUUUACCGUUCUUUCUUUCUUUCCCCAAUAAAUGUGCAAAUAACCGUUCAUAUAUGCUUCUCCAAUCCUGUGGACGAUCAUCCUGAUAAUUGUUCGACCUGCCAUCGAUAAAACUCUGAUAAGAAGACUUGGGUUUUAAGGAAAAUGGAGAU
RNAcentral lists this long non-coding RNA (294 nucleotides) under Coffea arabica (coffee). RNAcentral's name for it is "long non-coding RNA (CARA_LNC001609)". The record is from RNAcentral. Lineage: Eukaryota; Viridiplantae; Streptophyta; Magnoliopsida; Gentianales; Rubiaceae.